CAAUAGCGUAUAUUAAAGUUGUUGCAGUUAAAAAGCUCGUAGUUGGACCUUGGACCUGGACAGGCGGUCCGCCUCACGGCGAGUACUGUCUUGCUGGGUCUUUCCUCUUGGUGAUCUGUUGUUUCGGCAGCAGGGAACCAGGACCUUUACUUUGAAAAAAUUAGAGUGUUCAAAGCAGGCUCGACGCCGGAAUAUAUUAGCACGGAAUAAUAAAAUAGGACGUGCGGUUCUAUUUUGUUGGUUUUUGGAAUCGCCGUAAUGAUUAAUAGGGACAGUCGGGGGCAUUAGUACUCACAUGCUAGAGGUGAAAUUCUUGGAUUUUGUGAAGACUAACUUCUGCGAAAGCAUUUGCCAAGGAUGUUUUCAUUAA
This 370-nucleotide ribosomal RNA is filed under the name uncultured eukaryote. Its description in RNAcentral is "partial 18S ribosomal RNA". It matches the Rfam family "Eukaryotic small subunit ribosomal RNA", at positions 592 to 976 of the family's 1831-position model. The record is from RNAcentral.